This 183-nucleotide ribosomal RNA is filed under the name uncultured bacterium. Its description in RNAcentral is "partial 16S ribosomal RNA". It matches the Rfam family "Bacterial small subunit ribosomal RNA", at positions 330 to 525 of the family's 1533-position model. The record is from RNAcentral.
UCGCCCUUCCUACGGGGGGCAGCAGUCGAGAAUAUUGGGCAAUGGGGGAAACCCUGACCCAGCGACGCUGCGUGGGUGAAGAAGGACUUCGGUCUGUAAAGCCCUUUUAUGGAGGAUGAACCUUCGGGUGACCGUACUCCAGAAUAAGGGAUUGCUAACUCUGUGCCAGCAGCCGCGGUAAUA